CCGUACUUGACAUGAAUCACCAGUGCUCUGUGAUACACUGUCAAAGAGUCGAGUUGUUUGGGAAUGCAGCUCAAAAUGGGUGGUAAAUUCCAUCUAAAGCUAAAUAUUGGCGAGAGACCGAUAGCGAACAAGUACCGUGAGGGAAAGAUGAAAAGCACUUUGGAAAGAGAGUUAAACAGUAUGUGAAAUUGUUAAAAGGGAAACGAUUGAAGUCAAUCAUGUCCUUGGGUCUUACCACCCUUGGAUGGGGUCAAGAUCAGUUUUGAUCGGUGGAUAAGGAUAGGA
RNAcentral lists this ribosomal RNA (285 nucleotides) under Goffeauzyma gilvescens. Its description in RNAcentral is "partial small subunit ribosomal RNA". It matches the Rfam family "Eukaryotic large subunit ribosomal RNA", at positions 221 to 504 of the family's 3401-position model. Lineage: Eukaryota; Fungi; Basidiomycota; Tremellomycetes; Filobasidiales; Filobasidiaceae. The record is from RNAcentral.